GAUUAGCUAGUUGGUGAGGUAAAGGCUCACCAAGGCUUCGAUCAGUAGCUGGUCUGAGAGGACGACCAGCCACACUGGGACUGAGACACGGCCCAGACUCCUACGGGAGGCAGCAGUGGGGAAUAUUGGACAAUGGGCGAAAGCCUGAUCCAGCAAUGCCGCGUGAGUGAUGAAGGCCCUAGGGUUGUAAAGCUCUUUUACCCGGGAAGAUAAUGACUGUACCGGGAGAAUAAGCCCCGGCUAACUCCGUGCCAGCAGCCGCGGUAAUACGGAGGGGGCUAGCGUUGCUCGGAAUUACUGGGCGUAAAGCGCACGUAGGCGGCUUUGUAAGUUAGAGGUGAAAGCCCGGGGCUCAACCCCGGAAUUGCCUUUAAGACUGCAUCGCUUGAACGUCGGAAGAGGUGAGUGGAAUUCCCGAGUGUAGAGGUGAAAUUCGUAGAUAUUCCUAAGAACGCCAAUGGCGAAAGCUGCUCACUAGACGACUGUUGACGCUGAUUGCGAAACCUUGCGCAGCAACACGAUAAAUACCCUGGUAGUCCACGCCGUAACGAUGAUAAUAGCUGGCUGGGCUCUUGGACCUUAGUGGCGCAGCUACGCAUUACGUUAUCAGCCGGAGAGAACUGUCAAAUCUAA
Molecule: ribosomal RNA, 633 nt
Filed under: uncultured bacterium
Lineage: Bacteria
Description: bacterial SSU rRNA
Rfam family: Bacterial small subunit ribosomal RNA
Source: RNAcentral